GCUGGGUGAGGUGGUGCACACCUGUAAUUCCAGAGGCUUGGGAGGCUGAGGCAGGAGGAGUGCAAAUUCAAAUCCAGCCUCAG
Molecule: small RNA, 83 nt
Filed under: Marmota monax (woodchuck)
Lineage: Eukaryota; Metazoa; Chordata; Mammalia; Rodentia; Sciuridae
Source: RNAcentral